AUGGCUCCUCAUGCGGUUGUGCCUGCUGGACGCCGCUUCUCCACCACAAGGCAGAGGCAGAGGAGGGCCUUAUCCACCACCACGCAAUGGCAGCCAAGGUCCUCCUCCCCCAUCUCGCCUCUCUCCCUCUCUCACCCCCCUAGAAAACUAGUAGAAGGGAGUGAGGAAGGAGGAGAAAGACCAGAAGAAGGGCAAGGGAUGUGGGGCGAUCUGCAUGUCCAUGGAGAUCAAAUUACCUGUGAGGUCAUCCACCGCGACCCUCACUGUGAGGACGACAACGAGAGGAUGAGUACCUCGACGGCGACGAAAACCAGGAGGAUGAACCCACCCAUAGUACUGGAAUCAGGGAUGACACGGUUCGGGAUCGCCGCACGCUUCAACGCCCCGUCGCCGGUCGUCUCGGAGGCUGCCGCCACCAACGCCGCGUCGGGCGUUGUCCACGCAGUGCCACAGACCGAGCCUGUUGCUUCCGCCGAGUGGCUGCAUGCCAACCUCAGGGACCCCAAUGUGAAGUUGAAAGAGGAUUUUGGUGGGCUUUGUUUUAGCACCAGCAAUUGCUCUCAAGGGCUUGUGCUUAUCUUGUGUAUCAACGUUCUUGUUCACAUCCAUCUUGGAGGGCUCAAAUUCGCUGCCGGAAGCUUCUUCAGUCGCUGUGUGGGCCUCUCAGUUGCCCCCUUAAGUUUGCUCAGGGUUCUCCAUGGCGACAAUCUGGGAGGCCUCCUCGGUGGCAGCCUUGGCAAUACCGGCUUCCUCGGCGAGCUCUUCACCUCCCACGGGAGAAGUUGGAGCUGA
RNAcentral lists this ribosomal RNA (792 nucleotides) under Triticum aestivum (bread wheat). RNAcentral describes it as "partial small subunit ribosomal RNA". Lineage: Eukaryota; Viridiplantae; Streptophyta; Magnoliopsida; Poales; Poaceae. The record is from RNAcentral.